This 411-nucleotide ribosomal RNA is filed under the name uncultured beta proteobacterium. Its description in RNAcentral is "bacterial SSU rRNA". It matches the Rfam family "Bacterial small subunit ribosomal RNA", at positions 9 to 423 of the family's 1533-position model. The record is from RNAcentral. Lineage: Bacteria; Pseudomonadati; Pseudomonadota; Betaproteobacteria.
GAGUUUGAUCCUGGCUCAGAUUGAACGCUGGCGGCAUGCCUUACACAUGCAAGUCGAACGCGAAAGCGGGGCAACCCGCAAGUAGAGUGGCGAACGGGUGAGUAAUACAUCGGAACAUAUCCAGUAGCGGGGGAUAACCUGUCGAAAGAUAGGCUAAUACCGCAUACGACCUACGGGUGAAAGCGGAGGACCGCAAGGCUUCGCACUAUUGGAGUGGCCGAUGUCGGAUUAGCUAGUUGGUGAGGUAAAAGCUCACCAAGGCGACGAUCCGUAGCUGGUCUGAGAGGACGACCAGCCACACUGGGACUGAGACACGGUCCAGACUCCUACGGGAGGCAGCAGUGGGGAAUUUUGGACAAUGGGCGCAAGCCUGAUCCAGCCAUGCCGCGUGAGUGAAGAAGGCCUUCGGGC